Molecule: ribosomal RNA, 498 nt
Filed under: uncultured bacterium
Lineage: Bacteria
Description: partial 16S ribosomal RNA
Rfam family: Bacterial small subunit ribosomal RNA
Source: RNAcentral
AUUGAACGCUGGCGGCAUGCCUUACACAUGCAAGUCGAACGGUAACAGGUCUUCGGAUGCUGACGAGUGGCGAACGGGUGAGUAAUACAUCGGAACGUGCCUAGUAGUGGGGGAUAACUACUCGAAAGAGUGGCUAAUACCGCAUGAGAUCUACGGAUGAAAGCAGGGGAUCGCAAGACCUUGUGCUACUAGAGCGGCCGAUGGCAGAUUAGGUAGUUGGUGGGAUAAAAGCUUACCAAGCCAACGAUCUGUAGCUGGUCUGGGAGGACGAUCAGCCACACUGGGACUGAGACACGGCCCAGACUCCUACGGGAGGCAGCAGUGGGGAAUUUUGGACAAUGGGCGCAAGCCUGAUCCAGCAAUGCCGCGUGCAGGACGAAGGCCUUCGGGUUGUAAACUGCUUUUGCACGGAACGAAAAGCCCCGGGUUAAUACCCUGGGGUCAUGACGGUACCGUAAGAAUAAGCACCGGCUAACUACGUGCCAGCAGCCGCAGUAA